CCUACGGGAGGCAGCAGUGAGGAAUAUUGGUCAAUGGCCGGAAGGCUGAACCAGCCAUGCCGCGUGAAGGUCAGUGCCCUAUGGGCGUUAAACUUCUUUUGUGCGGGAGCAAUAAUGGUCACGUGUGGCCAGACGAGAGUACCGUACGAAUAAGCAUCGGCUAACUCCGUGCCAGCAGCCGCGGUAAUACGGGGGAUGCAAGCGUUAUCCGGAUUUAUUGGGUUUAAAGGGUGCGUAGGCUGGGAGGUAAGUCAGCGGUGAAAUGCCCCCGCUCAACGGGGUGAAGUGCCAUUGAUACUGCCUGGCUGGAAUGCGGAUGCCGUGGGAGGAAUGUGUGGUGUAGCGGUGAAAUGCAUAGAGAUCACACAGAACACCGAUUGCGAAGGCAUCUCACGAAUCCGCGAUUGACGCUGAUGCACGAAAGCGUGGGUAUCAAACAGGAUUAGAUACCCUGGUAGUC
Molecule: ribosomal RNA, 460 nt
Filed under: uncultured bacterium
Lineage: Bacteria
Description: partial 16S ribosomal RNA
Rfam family: Bacterial small subunit ribosomal RNA
Source: RNAcentral